This 404-nucleotide ribosomal RNA is filed under the name uncultured bacterium. RNAcentral's name for it is "bacterial SSU rRNA". It matches the Rfam family "Bacterial small subunit ribosomal RNA", at positions 355 to 776 of the family's 1533-position model. The record is from RNAcentral.
UGGGGGAUAUUGCACAAUGGGGGAAACCCUGAUGCAGCGACGCCGCGUGAGUGAAGAAGUAUUUCGGUAUGUAAAGCUCUAUCAGCAGGGAAGAAGAUGACAGUACCUGAGUAAGAAGCCCCGGCUAACUACGUGCCAGCAGCCGCGGUAAUACGUAGGGGGCAAGCGUUAUCCGGAUUUACUGGGUGUAAAGGGAGCGUAGACGGAUGGAUAAGUCUGAAGUGAAAGCCCGCGGCUCAACUGCGGGACUGCUUUGGAAACUGUGCAUCUUGAGUACGGGAGGGGCAGGCGGAAUUCCUGGUGUAGCGGUGAAAUGCGUAGAUAUCAGGAGGAACACCGGCGGCGAAGGCGGCCUGCUGGACCGAAACUGACGUUGAGGCUCGAAAGCGUGGGGAGCAAACAGG